AAUUAUAUAGUCUAAAAAGGAUUUUAAAUUGCAAAUUUAAAGGUAAAUGAGGGAUUUUAUAAUUU
Molecule: transfer RNA, 65 nt
Filed under: Curculionidae sp. 1 AH-2016
Lineage: Eukaryota; Metazoa; Arthropoda; Insecta; Coleoptera; Curculionidae
Description: tRNA-Cys
Source: RNAcentral